GCCGAUGGCGACCGGCGCACGGGUGAGUAACACGUAUCCAACCUGCCGUCUACUCUUGGACAGCCCUCUGAAAGGAAGAUUAAUACAAGAUGGCAUCAUGAGUCCACAUGUUCACAUGAUUAAAGGUAUUCCGGUAGACGAUGGGGAUGCGUUCCAUUAGAUAGUAGGCGGGGUAACGGCCCACCUAGUCUUCGAUGGAUAGGGGUUCUGAGAGGAAGGUCCCCCACAUUGGAACUGAGACACGGUCCAAACUCCUACGGGAGGCAGCAGUGAGGAAUAUUGGUCAAUGGGCGAGAGCCUGAACCAGCCAAGUAGCGUGAAGGAUGACUGCCCUAUGGGUUGUAAACUUCUUUUAUAAAGGAAUAAAGUCGGGUAUGCAUACCCGUUUGCAUGUACUUUAUGAAUAAGGAUCGGCUAACUCCGUGCCAGCAGCCGCGGUAAUACGGAGGAUCCGAGCGUUAUCCGGAUUUAUUGGGUUUAAAGGGAGCGUAGAUGGAUGUUUAAGUCAGUUGUGAAAGUUUGCGGCUCAACCGUAAAAUUGCAGUUGAUACUGGAUAUCUUGAGUGCAGUUGAGGCAGGCGGAAUUCGUGGUGUAGCGGUGAAAUGCUUAGAUAUCACGAAGAACUCCGAUUGCGAAGGCAGCCUGCUAAGCUGCAACUGACAU
Molecule: ribosomal RNA, 664 nt
Filed under: uncultured Bacteroidales bacterium
Lineage: Bacteria; Pseudomonadati; Bacteroidota; Bacteroidia; Bacteroidales
Description: bacterial SSU rRNA
Rfam family: Bacterial small subunit ribosomal RNA
Source: RNAcentral